GGGAGGCGCGUCCUACAUGCAGUCGAACGAAGGCUUCGGCCUUAAUGGCGCACGGGUGCGUAACGCGUGGGAAUCUGCCCCUCGGUUCGGAAUAACAGCGAGAAAUUGCUGCUAAUACCGGAUGAUGACGUAAGUCCAAAGAUUUAUCGCCAAGGGAUGAACCCGCGUAAGAUUAACUAGUUGGCGUGGUAAAAGCGCACCAAGGCGACAAUCCUUAGCUGGUCUGAGAAGAUGAUCAGCCCCUCUGGGACUGAGACACGGCCCAGACUCCUACGGGAGGCAGAAAUGGGGAAUAUUGGACAAUGGGCGAAAGCCUGAUCAAUGCAAUGACACCGUGAUGAUGAAGGCCUUAGGGUUGUAAAGCUCUUUUACCCGGGAUGAUAGUGUCUUCUACCGGGAGAAUAAGCUCAGGCUUACUCCGUGCACGCAACCGCAGUAAUACGGAGGGAGUUAGUGUUUUUCAGAAUUACUGGGCAUACAGAGCACGCAAGCGUUUUCUGGAUUUAUAGGUGUAAAACCCAGAGCUAAGCUCUGGAAUUGCCUUUUAGUACAGAACCUCUUGCACCACGAGAGAACUCCCCGGAAUACUGAGCGACUAGGUUAAAUACGAAGAUAUUCGAAUGAACUCCAUAGGCGAGAGAUGCUUACAGACCAUGUAUAACCCCUAUUGCGUAAACACCUGACUUAGCUGCUACUGACAUUGCCCUGGGAAACCAUGCCGAGCAAAAAGAAUAAUAUACCGUGGGAUACCAUGGUGUAUAACAGGGAUACUCUAUGCUUUCGAUACACCGCUAGGGAC
Molecule: ribosomal RNA, 799 nt
Filed under: bacterium 14F
Lineage: Bacteria
Description: bacterial SSU rRNA
Rfam family: Bacterial small subunit ribosomal RNA
Source: RNAcentral